AGAGUUUGAUCCUGGCUCAGAAUGAACGUUGGCGGCGUGGAUUAGACAUGCAAGUCGAACGGGUUUGGUAGCAAUACCAGACCAGUGGCGUAAGGGUGAGUAAGGCGACGGCAACCAACCCCAUGGUUGGGCAUAGCCGCGGGAAACUGCGGGUAAUUCCCAGCGAUGUUCGUACCGGGCAUCCGGUGUGAACCAAAGUUCUGGCGCCGUGGGACGGGCCGUCGUGGUAUUAGGUAGUUGGCGGGGUAAUGGCCCACCAAGCCUCUGAUGCCUACCGGGCGUGCGAGCGUGGCCCGGCACACUGGGACUGAGACACUGCCCAGACUCCUACGGGAGGCUGCAGUCGAGAAUCUUCGGCAAUGGGCGCAAGCCUGACCGAGCGACGCCGCGUGGAGGAUGAAGGCCUUCGGGUUGUAAACUCCUGUCGAGGGGGAGGAAGGGGUAACCUUGACCUAUCCCUGGAGGAAGCA
This 470-nucleotide ribosomal RNA is filed under the name uncultured bacterium. Its description in RNAcentral is "bacterial SSU rRNA". It matches the Rfam family "Bacterial small subunit ribosomal RNA", at positions 8 to 492 of the family's 1533-position model. The record is from RNAcentral.